UACGGAGGGUGCGAGCGUUGUCCGGAAUCACUGGGCGUAAAGGGCGCGUAGGCGGCUCAUUAAGUGGCUGGUGAAAUCCCGGGGCUCAACUCCGGGGCUGCCGGUCAGACUGGUGGGCUCGAGCACGGUAGAGGCGGAUGGAAUUCCCGGUGUAGCGGUGGAAUGCGUAGAGAUCGGGAAGAAUACCGGUGGCGAAGGCGUUCCGCUGGGCCGUUGCUGACGCUGAGGCGCGACAGCGUGGGGAGCAAACAGG
Molecule: non-coding RNA, 253 nt
Filed under: uncultured bacterium
Lineage: Bacteria
Also listed under: 2 other names
Description: partial 16S ribosomal RNA
Rfam family: Bacterial small subunit ribosomal RNA
Source: RNAcentral